GUGGGGAAUUUUGGACAAUGGGCGCAAGCCUGAUCCAGCAAUGCCGCGUGUGUGAAGAAGGCCUUCGGGUUGUAAAGCACUUUUGUCCGGAAAGAAAUCUCCUGGGUUAAUACCUCGGGGGGAUGACGGUACCGGAAGAAUAAGCACCGGCUAACUACGUGCCAGCAGCCGCGGUAAUACGUAGGGUGCGAGCGUUAAUCGGAAUUACUGGGCGUAAAGCGUGCGCAGGCGGCUAUGCAAGACAGAUGUGAAAUCCCCGGGCUCAACCUGGGAACUGCAUUUGUGACUGGAUGGCUAGAGUGCGUCAGAGGGAGGUGGAAUUCCGCGUGUAGCAGUGAAAUGCGUAGAGAUGCGGAGGAACACCGAUGGCGAAGGCAGCCUCCUGGGAUGACACUGACGCUCAUGCACGAAAGCGUGGGGAGCAAACAGGAUUAGAUACCCGAGUAGUCC
This 450-nucleotide ribosomal RNA is filed under the name uncultured bacterium. Its description in RNAcentral is "partial 16S ribosomal RNA". It matches the Rfam family "Bacterial small subunit ribosomal RNA", at positions 354 to 796 of the family's 1533-position model. The record is from RNAcentral.